Molecule: long non-coding RNA, 1169 nt
Organism: Cyprinodon tularosa
Lineage: Eukaryota; Metazoa; Chordata; Actinopteri; Cyprinodontiformes; Cyprinodontidae
Exons: 3
Source: RefSeq, a predicted model, not a curated record
GUUUCUCAAAAGACCAAAAUGAGAACAUUUAAUGAAGGAGAAGAAAUAAUGCUUACAAGUCAAUAUUUUGAGAUAAUGGUUUGGAUUAACAUCAAUGUUUGCUGUCCUCUCAUCUUUUUGGUCAUCUUUCUGUGUUUUGUGGUGCGAUUGGAUCAUAUUCCAGUCACCUACUACAUUAACCUCCUCAUAUUCAAUCUGAUCCAGAUCAUCAUUCUGACAUUUUGCAUACAUAGAACAUAUCCUUUUUAUUAUUAUCGCCUGUCUGAUGUGUUUUUUCUCUACUGCUACAGUGGGGUGGGCAGUGUUUGCUUCAGGAUGAUCUUUGCUGUUGAAAGGAGUCUUUUCCUCUGCAGGCCACAGUUCGAUUUCAUAAGAAAAAUGAGAGGCUUUGUAACAUUCUGUUCUUUGGCUUGGGCAUUCUCGAUUGUUCUUUUCCUCAUCUUUUUCUUUGACGUGGCUUAUACCAAAAUGCUUUUCUUGAUUUUUACUGCCAUGUUUUUUAUCUGUCUAGUUGUAACCAUUAUGUCACUCUGUACUCCCACCUUAGACCGAGCUGAAGAAAAGUGCAGAGUGGUUGGAUCAUUAGUUAUUCUGCUGAUUAAUUACGCAGCAUUAAUUCCCUCUGUUAUUGUUCAUUUGAUAGAUCUACCUUUUUUGAAGAUGGCCUUUACAUUGAUGCUGCACUGCCCUUUAAUUGAUUUCCUUUUGUUAGUUUUCAUAUCUAAAGGCCCUUUUAUUCAGCUGCUGAUGUGUUUGUGCUGCUGCAGGAGGAGGAACCCUGCAGAGGAGGAGAGAAGCACAUCAGCUGUUAGACAGGACAGACUACUGAGCUCAGACACACUCAGGGUAGCAGAAAGACAAGGAGAUCAAGUAUAGAUAACAAAAUAAAUACAUAAAAUCAAAGAUUACAGGACUAAAUGCACAUGGAGACACCUUAGACAUAGUCUGGGGAUAAUAAACAAUAUUUUAGUUUUGCUUCAAAAGAAGGUGACAGUAGUAAGGGUUACAUUAGCAAAUAAUUUGAAUCCCAGUUCCUACACAUCAUUUAUAACUCCUUUUAUAUUUACGUACACCCUUGAAAAGUACUGCAGGUAACACCUUAAAUACUUUAGCGCAGUACCAUCAUAUUAUGCUGAAAAUAACAACAUAUUUUAAAUGAGUACAUCCAC